GCCGGCGUAGCUCAGGUAGUUAGAGCAUCGCACUCAUAAAGCGAAGGUCCCAAGUGCAAGUCUUGGCGUCGGCA
RNAcentral lists this transfer RNA (74 nucleotides) under Parcubacteria group bacterium CG11_big_fil_rev_8_21_14_0_20_39_22. Its description in RNAcentral is "tRNA-Met". It matches the Rfam family "tRNA". From Rfam's summary of the family: Transfer RNA (tRNA) molecules are approximately 80 nucleotides in length. The record is from RNAcentral.